Amblyraja radiata (thorny skate) is the source of this 489-nucleotide long non-coding RNA. RefSeq lists it as uncharacterized. The record is from RefSeq and is a predicted model, not a curated record. The transcript has 3 exons. NCBI's taxonomy places the organism in Eukaryota, Metazoa, Chordata, Chondrichthyes, Rajiformes, Rajidae.
AUAUGUGGUGUCGUAAUCUACUGGGAUUCAAGUAACUAAUUUUCAGCAUCUGCGGUUCUUUGCUUUACACGUUCAUUUUGAUGUUGUGACCGGCCAACAACGAAUCAAAGGAGAUCAGAUACGUGGUGUCGUAAUCUACUGGGAUUCAAGUAAAUAACUGUGGAAGUCAGAGAACCAGUUGUGACUGUGAGACGUGGUGUUGUGUUGGAAGCACACAGAUGGCCUGGGAUGUUCAUUAGAUGCAUCAAGAAGUUGCUAUGGAGACGGUGCAGAACGUUCCCCCCCCCGGUUACGGCAAGGUUCCCUUCCUGGGAACCGUUCCCAAGUGGAACAUGCGUCCGUGAACAGAGUUCCCACACGGCAGAAGAUGUCUGCAGCCCCGCAGCAGCCGGUAAAUCCAUCCCACCGUCUCCCAGACACUCGCUCAUGUGUAUGGGCUGUACUUUAGUGUGUCCGUAAGCUGGGGACGAUCUACACCUCAAACAAGUC